UGCAAGUCGAACGAUGAACCAGGAGCUUGCUCCUGGGGAUUAGUGGCGAACGGGUGAGUAACACGUGAGCAAUCUGCCCUUCACUCUGGGAUAACCUCCGGAAACGGAAGCUAAUACCGGAUAUGACGCACGGAGGCAUCUCCUGUGCGUGGAAAGAAUUUCGGUGAAGGAUGAGCUCGCGGCCUAUCAGGUAGUUGGUGAGGUAACGGCUCACCAAGCCUACGACGGGUAGCCGGCCUGAGAGGGUGACCGGCCACACUGGGACUGAGACACGGCCCAGACUCCUACGGGAGGCAGCAGUGGGGAAUAUUGCACAAUGGGCGCAAGCCUGAUGCAGCAACGCCGCGUGAGGGACGACGGCCUUCGGGUUGUAAACCUCUUUUAGUAGGGAAGAAGCGAAAGUGACGGUACCUGCAGAAAAAGCACCGGCUAACUACGUGCCAGCAGCCGCGGUAAUACGUAGGGUGCAAGCGUUGUCCGGAAUUAUUGGGCGUAAAGAGCUCGUAGGCGGUUUGUCGCGUCUGCUGUGAAAACCCGAGGCUCAACCUCGGGCCUGCAGUGGGUACGGGCAGACUAGAGUGCGGUAGGGGAGAAUGGAAUUCCUGGUGUAGCGGUGGAAUGCGCAGAUAUCAGGAGGAACACCGAUGGCGAAGGCAGUUCUCUGGGCCGUAACUGACGCUGAGGAGCGAAAGCGUGGGGAGCGAACAGGAUUAGAUACCCUGGUAGUCCACGCCGUAAACGUUGGGCGCUAGAUGUGGGGACCAUUCCACGGUUUCCGUGUCGCAGCUAACGCAUUAAGCGCCCCGCCUGGGGAGUACGGCCGCAAGGCUAAAACUCAAAGGAAUUGACGGGGGCCCG
This 858-nucleotide ribosomal RNA is filed under the name Leifsonia sp. RNAcentral's name for it is "bacterial SSU rRNA". It matches the Rfam family "Bacterial small subunit ribosomal RNA", at positions 56 to 923 of the family's 1533-position model. Lineage: Bacteria; Bacillati; Actinomycetota; Actinomycetes; Micrococcales; Microbacteriaceae. The record is from RNAcentral.